Molecule: signal recognition particle RNA, 268 nt
Filed under: Paenibacillaceae bacterium
Lineage: Bacteria; Bacillati; Bacillota; Bacilli; Caryophanales; Paenibacillaceae
Description: Bacterial large signal recognition particle RNA
Rfam family: Bacterial large signal recognition particle RNA
About the family: The signal recognition particle (SRP) is a universally conserved ribonucleoprotein involved in the co-translational targeting of proteins to membranes. Archaeal SRP consists of a 7S RNA and homologues of the eukaryotic SRP19 and SRP54 proteins. In most bacteria, the SRP consists of a 4.5S RNA and the Ffh protein (a homologue of the eukaryotic SRP54 protein).
Source: Rfam by way of RNAcentral
CCGUGCUAGAUGGGGAGGUAGCGGUGCCCUGUAACUCGCAAUCCGCUGUAGCGAGGUUGAAUUCCUGUCUGAGGUUGUGCCUAUGCGGGGCCUUGGCUUCUGUGAAUAGUGUUGACGGUUGGGUCCUCCGCAAUGGACGCUUGUGAACCCGGUCAGGUCCGGAAGGAAGCAGCCAUAAGCAAGUUAGUCUAUGUGCCGGGGGAGUGCCUGGCUCGAGCAGGGAUCAGACAUGCCGCCCGGGUUGCAUUAAUCGGGGACAGGUGCACGG